RNAcentral lists this ribosomal RNA (433 nucleotides) under uncultured bacterium. Its description in RNAcentral is "partial 16S ribosomal RNA". It matches the Rfam family "Bacterial small subunit ribosomal RNA", at positions 29 to 507 of the family's 1533-position model. The record is from RNAcentral.
AACGAACGCUGGCGGCAUGCUUAACACAUGCAAGUCGAACGAAACCUCCGGGCUUUUUUGCGCUCGGGUGCGUAACGCGUGGUAACUUGCCCUUAGGUACGGAAUAACUCCCUGUAAGGGAUGUUAAUACCAGUUAAUCUCAUCGGACCUAAGAUCUAUUGCUUUAGGAUGGGCCCGUGUUGGAUUCGGCGGUUGGUAGUGUAAUAGCCUAUCAUGGCGAUGUUCCAUAGCUGGUCUGUUAGGAGGAUCAUCCACGCUGGGACUGAGACACGGCCCAGAAUCCUACGCGAGGCAGCAGUGGAGUAUAUAAGAGGAUGGGCGAAAGCCUGAUCCAGCAGUGCCGCGUAAGUGAUGAAGGCCUUAGGAUUGUGAAGCUCUUUUACACGGGAUGAUAAUGACAGUACCGGGAGAAUAAGCUCCGGCUAACUCCGUG